This 253-nucleotide ribosomal RNA is filed under the name uncultured bacterium. RNAcentral describes it as "partial 16S ribosomal RNA". It matches the Rfam family "Bacterial small subunit ribosomal RNA", at positions 524 to 776 of the family's 1533-position model. The record is from RNAcentral.
UACGUAGGGUGCAAGCGUUGUCCGGAAUUAUUGGGCGUAAAGAGCUCGUAGGCGGUCUGUCGCGUCGGCUGUGAAAACCCGAGGCUCAACCUCGGGCCUGCAGUCGAUACGGGCAAACUAGAGUACUGCAGGGGAGACUGGAAUUCCUGGUGUAGCGGUGAAAUGCGCAGAUAUCAGGAGGAACACCGAUGGCGAAGGCAGGUCUCUGGGCUGUAACUGACGCUGAGGAGCGAAAGCAUGGGGAGCGAACAGG